Molecule: ribosomal RNA, 254 nt
Filed under: uncultured bacterium
Lineage: Bacteria
Description: partial 16S ribosomal RNA
Rfam family: Bacterial small subunit ribosomal RNA
Source: RNAcentral
UACGUAGGGUGCAAGCGUUAUCCGGAAUUAUUGGGCGUAAAGAGCUCGUAGGCGGUCUGUCGCGUCUGCUGUGAAAACUGGAGGCUCAACCUCCAGCCUGCAGUGGGUACGGGCAAACUAGAGUGCGGGUAGGGGAGAUUGGAAUUCCUGGUGUAGCGGUGGAAUGCGCAGAUAUCCGGAGGAACACCAGAGGCGAAGGCGGCGCGCUGGGCCGGUACUGACACUGAGGAGCGAAAGCGUGGGUAGCAAACAGG